Molecule: ribosomal RNA, 253 nt
Filed under: uncultured bacterium
Lineage: Bacteria
Description: partial 16S ribosomal RNA
Rfam family: Bacterial small subunit ribosomal RNA
Source: RNAcentral
UACGUAGGGACCAAGCGUUGUCCGGAAUCAUUGGGCGUAAAGAGCGUGUAGGCGGCUUGUUAAGUCUUGCGUGAAAUCUCGGGGCUCAACCCCGAGCGGUCGUGAGAAACUGGCAGGCUAGAGUGCGGGAGAGGAGAGUGGAAUUCCUGGUGUAGCGGUGAAAUGCGUAGAUAUCGGGAGGAACACCUGCGGCGAAGGCGGGUUGCUGGGCUGACACUGACGCUGAGGAACGAAAGCUAGGGGAGCAAACAGG